CAGUCGAGCGGACAGAUGGGAGCUUGCUCCCUGAUGUUAGCGGCGGACGGGUGAGUAACACGUGGGUAACCUGCCUGUAAGACUGGGAUAACUCCGGGAAACCGGGGCUAAUACCGGAUGCUUGUUUGAACCGCAUGGUUCAAACAUAAAAGGUGGCUUCGGCUACCACUUACAGAUGGACCCGCGGCGCAUUAGCUAGUUGGUGAGGUAAUGGCUCACCAAGGCAACGAUGCGUAGCCGACCUGAGAGGGUGAUCGGCCACACUGGGACUGAGACACGGCCCAGACUCCUACGGGAGGCAGCAGUAGGGAAUCUUCCGCAAUGGACGAAAGUCUGACGGAGCAACGCCGCGUGAGUGAUGAAGGUUUUCGGAUCGUAAAGCUCUGUUGUUAGGGAAGAACAAGUNCCGUUCGAAUAGGGCGGUACCUUGACGGUACCUAACCAGAAAGCCACGGCUAACUACGUGCCAGCAGCCGCGGUAAUACGUAGGUGGCAAGCGUUGUCCGGAAUUAUUGGGCGUAAAGGGCUCGCAGGCGGUUCCUUAAGUCUGAUGUGAAAGCCCCCGGCUCAACCGGGGAGGGUCAUUGGAAACUGGGGAACUUGAGUGCAGAAGAGGAGAGUGGAAUUCCACGUGUAGCGGUGAAAUGCGUAGAGAUGUGGAGGAACACCAGUGGCGAAGGCGACUCUCUGGUCUGUAACUGACGCUGAGGAGCGAAAGCGUGGGGAGCGAACAGGAUUAGAUACCCUGGUAGUCCACGCCGUAAACGAUGAGUGCUAAGUGUUAGGGGGUUUCCGCCCCUUAGUGCUGCAGCUAACGCAUUAAGCACUCCGCCUGGGGAGUACGGUCGCAAGACUGAAACUCAAAGGAAUUGACGGGGGCCCGCACAAGCGGUGGAGCAUGUGGUUUAAUUCGAAGCAACGCGAAGAACCUUACCAGGUCUUGACAUCCUCUGACAAUCCUAGAGAUAGGACGUCCCCUUCGGGGGCAGAGUGACAGGUGGUGCAUGGUUGUCGUCAGCUCGUGUCGUGAGAUGUUGGGUUAAGUCCCGCAACGAGCGCAACCCUUGAUCUUAGUUGCCAGCAUUCAGUUGGGCACUCUAAGGUGACUGCCGGUGACAAACCGGAGGAAGGUGGGGAUGACGUCAAAUCAUCAUGCCCCUUAUGACCUGGGCUACACACGUGCUACAAUGGACAGAACAAAGGGCAGCGAAACCGCGAGGUUAAGCCAAUC
RNAcentral lists this ribosomal RNA (1231 nucleotides) under Bacillus halotolerans. RNAcentral's name for it is "bacterial SSU rRNA". It matches the Rfam family "Bacterial small subunit ribosomal RNA", at positions 59 to 1273 of the family's 1533-position model. The record is from RNAcentral. Lineage: Bacteria; Bacillati; Bacillota; Bacilli; Caryophanales; Bacillaceae.